RNAcentral lists this unclassified non-coding RNA (6415 nucleotides) under Hevea brasiliensis (rubber tree). The record is from RNAcentral. Lineage: Eukaryota; Viridiplantae; Streptophyta; Magnoliopsida; Malpighiales; Euphorbiaceae.
CCGACUUGCAAAGGCCUCAAUCCAAGAAUGUUACUUUCUGAAGAGAGUAAGAUAUAAGAUGAUGCAACAUCGAAAUCAUGCAUUUAAAUCAGUUCAAGGCUCUAGAUAAAUAAAAGGCAGUAGCCAGUAAGUCAUUCAUUAUUGUAACUCUUACAUAAAAAAAAAACUUCACUUUAAUUAGCCCCAAGAAAAAGUCCAUGCAAAACUUGCUUAGAUUUCUUGUGAUGCAAUAGCAUUGGGUCAAUAGGACAAUGAUCUGCCCUCCCAAUUGCUAUAAAUGAGGGCAGCCGAAACCCAAGACUUCUACUUGCACAUCCAAACCUGCCACUUUGUGUGCACAUCAGCGAAAGAAACAUAUUAUCAAAACAAUUAGAAUGAAAUCACUCUCUGAUCAUUUCCUGCCAUUUGCAGAUGGGAAAUCCAAGGAAACUGCAGAAAUACCUCACCUUGUACUGUGAUACAAAAGAUUUUAGGUCUCUAACUGAAGAAAAUGGUAAAAAAUGUAAUCAUGACUGUAAAAAUAAGUUCAAAAGCUUCAGCUACCAUUCUCAUUGAUUUUCCCGUGCUUCCUCCCUGGCAUGUUAUUACACAAUGAUGCAAAAGAAAAUUCUUUUUCUCUGAUAAAGAGGCGUUGAGGGUCAGAACAAGAUAAAUGGUUCAAAUGGACCAGCCACAGAAGGAUAUUGUAGAAAUAGACGCGUUUUUGAUGGUCCAAAUUGUAACAUCCAUUCCCAUCAAGCAACUCACAAGUUAGUCUUUCCAGUUCUAUAUCCAAAAUGAGUAUACUAAAUAAAUAUACCCAAUAUAUAUCCAGUCCGUGCUACAGCAUAUUUCCUAAUGAAAUAUGAAGGUAUCCUUGAAAGGAUAUACAUGUAGCAUAGGAAGGAAGAGUUGGAUAAGGAAUUUAAUGUAAAUAAAUAAAGAAAAGUGGUGCAAAGCAAGGCUGAUAACUAUUUAUUAAUUUAUUAGCCCAUUAACACCUGUAUGAGCAAAAAUAAAUGAAAUUAUUAACAGAAUGAAUUCCUCAGCAUCUAUGACAAUGCUCCUGGUAAUCCAUAGCUCCCUUCAGAAACAGUCGAUUGUUCAGUCUUAUAUCAGGCAUGAAACUCUCAAAUUCACAUUCAGCAUGCAAGUAAAAUACAUAUCUCUACAUAUUCAAAAUGUUGGAGAUGUGGGAGCUCGAAAUUUUCAUUUUUUGUCCAAGGUUAUUAGCUAUAGAGACAUGCUUAAAUAACAACGAAAAAUAGUUUCUGAAACAAGAACAUCAAUCCAAGAAAGUAGAGAGCCAGUUUUUUUGGCAUGAUGAACAGUUAAAAUACAAAGGACAAAGUGUAAACACCAAUUAAAGAGAAAUUCCAAGAAAGUAGCAAGUGAAUAUAAUAACCUGCAAUAAAACAAAAUAGUAAUAGAUGUCCAAUCCUUGUGUGUAUACAAGAGCAAUCAGCUAUCAAUCAAUUGAGCCAAUGGAUCUUCUGAAACAUCUGAUUAUGGAAAACACAGUGAAUGUACAAGUGAUAACAAAAAAAUUAUUUCACCCAUCACUAAGCUACAAACAGUUUUCUGGAAAACAAUUCCUCACCUGUAAAAUGACUCCUUCAAUUCACUACUGCAUGCAUCAGGAAAAACUUGCGCAAAAUCCAAUGCCAAGAGCAAUGAACCUCAAAUCUAUUGGGCUGAACUACUUCUCAUAUGUCUUCAAGAAAAGCUAAUUUCAAAAUAUUUGCUACGUAAUAAAAUUGGAGCCUCAUGACUUGCCAAACAUUGAGCUAUCUUAUCUAUGCUUAAAAAUAAAAUCAAGAAACAAGAUAAUAUUGCACCAUCUCCUAAAGACGAGGUGUGAUUUUUCUCAAUCAUUAUACAUACAAAACCCCCUUUCCUUUUGGGGUAAUAACCCUCCUUUCUUUUUGGGUUCCAUUGGCACUAUCAUUAAGACCCCUCCUCCAAUAGCCAUUCUGACAGGUUUUUCCUUCCAGAUUUAUUCACAAAUCUCUUACAUAUCAUAUUUUUGCCUUUAAUUCCAACAACGCAAAUAUCCUAAUAACUAAGAAUAACUAAAUUCACUCCAACCCCUAAAGUUCAGCCUCAUAUCAAAGAAUUAUCUCCUAUGGGGUUUUCAGAGGUAACAAAAUAAUGGCACAGAUGCACCAAAAACACACAGCAAAGAACAGCAGUUCCAGCAUAUUCAUUGCAACAACAAGACAGAAUAUACCAGUAUAAAAUAGAGAAAAUUUAUUCUGCAUUCUUUCAAAAGAGUAAAAGAAAUAAUGGCACAAUGCAUUCUAGCUGUAUGAUCUGCUGGAUGGAGCACUUACAAUGCAUGAGCUGUAGAAAGUAAUAUUACACGUAACAAGCUACAUAAUUACCUUCCAUGUUUUCUUUAGUUUCUUCAUUAAUCCCUCUUACAUAACAUGACAUAUUCAAGAUCUGUGAAAAUAGUACAAAGAAAGAAGAAAGCAUAAAUGCUAAAAUCUUUAUUCACUCUCUAUAAGAAUGCCCUAAUUUUUUCAUUCCCCUAGCAUAUGGAAAAUAUGGUAUGACCAGUUCGCUCCAAUUUAUGAGAUAUUAAAUCCCAAGGUAAUUAAGUCAAACAAUGAUAACAUCUUCAACUACUACAUGCAUAUGAAUUGACUAGUUUUUCAGAUUUAAGAAGUUUGCAUGACUUUACUGCUUACAUUUUGGGCCCACAUGCAAAUUUGCUCCACCAUGUUGAUGUUUAAUCUGAUCAAGCAACUUUACUACAUAUCUAAUCUUUAGCCCAUUUUAUCAAAAUCCAGAAAGGCACAACAACCAUUAUCUGCUAUAUAUCCCCUCAACGGUGCUGGUCAAUCCGCUCCAUAAAUUCUCCAUAUAGGCACACUAUAAAGAUUACAAACUCCACUUAAGUUCAGAAAUCUAAUAGAUGUCCCCACUAAACUCAAUUGGUAGGUUUUAACAACACUGCCCAAUCUUUGGCAAAGCUACUCUAAUUUAGUCUUGACUGCAAGAGAAAUUUGUGUGCCAGUCUUUUUUAACUCUCAGUCUGUGGGUUGACCCACGUCCCAUGAUGUUCAGAUAGUUAAUUUUCAGCCACCAAGGAGGAAAUCGGAUGGAUUAACCAGUAGUCUGAUGCUAAAUCAGACAUGAAUACUAGAAUAUCUUCCAUAAAUAUACUGAAUUGCAGCUGGUCUCUAUAAUCUGCAUGAGCAUUUAUGAGUAUCCAAACAUAUCUCAUAAAUAAACUGAAUCACAGAAGAUAGAAAUCAACAGUAGACUCAGUAACAACAUAAAUUCAGUAUUGUCCAGACUAUUGAUUGCUUGUCCCAUUUAAAUUCUUCACAAAUUACUUUCAAUCUUUAACACUUUCCCUUUUAAUAUGUAUUUCAAAAUAUUCUUCAAGUUUCUCCGAAACCCCUCUAUGAGUCCAAUAUGUUAAGUUAUGCCUAGAACCUGUUUAAGAUUAGCCAGAAUUCACAAUUCAAAUACAUCUAUGGUCAACUCAUGCUUCCAGGCCAGGUGAAAAUUGUACAUCUCCUUUUAAUAAGUAAGAUUUUAGAUCAAUUAUCUUUACUACACCCAAUGAUAAGGAAUUGCAACUAUAACUUUUUAAAUGAUAAUUAGGAGCUAAAUGAUAAGUUUCCGUAACAACAGAGUGAUACAGUAACACCUCAGCAGAUGGAUUAUUUAGGUGUCAUUUAGUUACAAAUGCAAAUUAAGAGCAUAACGACAAGUAAGUAUCCAUUAAUGUGUUAUUAAUAUUGGAAUUCCAAUCAAUUAUCGGAUCUAAAAAUACAUAAAGAGCAACACUACAGCUCUUACACCAGUGAUUUUACCUUUCCCCAAGCUACAUAAGAGUAUCCCUGCAAAACUGUCUUAGAUUUCCUCUUCAUUGGCUGAAAAUUGCACAGACAAACUUCAGAUCUGUAGUGAAGGCACAAGUCAACCAACACCGAUACUUAUCAUACAACAGAGCAACCAAUUAUGGGAAUUCUAUUUAAAAGUUUCCCUUGCUUGGUUGCUGUUAAAUAAUUCCCAGAUUCACACAGGCUCUGCAGGAGGAAAAACAGACAUUUGGAUGCUCAGACCCACAAUCUCAUUUUGCAAGGCCCAAGCUCCAUCUGAAGGGGAAGCCAUGCAGUUCAUCAUGGCAAUCUGAACAGAACAUGAUCAUCAACACUUCCAACAGCAGUUAUUGAGGCCUUUGAACCACAACAUCCAUGCCCAAUUACAGCUUUGGCACAACAAAUCUUCAUGGGAUGUUUCAAUCCUCGAACGCAUGCGUACAGAUUUUCUCCAGCAGCAAUGGCCAAUGUUCACCAAGCUGCUGUGGAUUUAGCUCCAUUGCAACUUUGAAAUCAAGCAAAGAUAUUGAACACCGAGGCCUCUGUUCAUGCAUAACUUCCACUGGUCCACUAUUGCUCUGCACAUGUAAGUGAUUACUCAUCCACAUUCCAUUGAGCACUUUGCCUUGAACCUGCUGCUUAUGGAUGGGGUGCUUUCUUGAAUCAUGUGGAGACCUUGAUCCUACCAACUCAACACAAGAUCUGAUCAACUUCUUCAAGUAUACAUCCAACAUAUUAUUCAGCAUAUUUGCACAUUCCGUUGAAACCCCUCCAACACCCUGUGCAGCUGCGAUCUGCUCCAUGCGUUUCCUCAGCAUCUCUGUACUAUACAAUACACCGCUGUCAUGAUAGCUAAUAAAAUCACCAGCGCUUGCUGCUGGCAUAGUUUUGCGAGCCCCACCCACAGUAGUAGAAUAAAAUGGAAUUCCAAGAGGCGCAAGUAAUGGACUUCUAGAGAAACUCAAGUGGUUUGCUUUCUCCACCUCUUCCCCGUCUUCAACAAAAGCUGUCUGAACUUUGCUAUCUAUUGUCGGUUUUUCAAAGGGCCGUUGAACUAACCCUUCCCUUUCAUUCUCAGGUGGCUCAGCAACUCCUUGAAGAUGCUGUAAUGGUCUCUGAUAAUCACAUGGAGGCAACUCCCCAUUAUCCAUAAUAACCUUACUGCCUACACCUUCUACACCAGUGGAUUGAUGCGAGAUACAUUCAACUUUCCCAGUUGGCCCAAGUAGACUAGGUCUAUCUCUGGGCUUACGAUCACGCAUCACUGACCUAAUCUUCCGUGGGGACACUGGCAAAACCCCAUUCGACCAAAUGGACACAUUUUGAUUCUGAACUGUAAGAAUUUGUUCAUGCCCAUCUUCUCUAUCAGGAGAACCUUUUGCUAUUUGUAUCGAAGAUUUUGUGGGUCCUGCCUCAUAAAUUGCUGGUGGGGUCUUGGCCUGACACGCAUUCCUCAAGAUGGAACGGAUAAGCUGAUUGUGCAGGGGAAGAUUCUCCCUUCCAAGCAGGCGAAAACAUGACUUAUCAAAGUCACUCUUGCUCAGCUUCUGACUUAAAAACCUAUUCAAGUAGUGAAAAUACUUCUUGAACCUCUCAACCCCAACCUUCUUCACUAUCUGACUUUUCAAUUCAACCAAAUCAAUUCUGGAGCUCUGCUGAGGUUGCAUCUCUCAAUAAACAGAUUUAUACACCAUUCAAAAGAAUCGCAAGACCCCUUGCCCCUCAAUACAACCACAAAAUACUGUUAUACUGGCUUCCAAACAACCAAAAAUUCACCCACCCGCAUAUCAAUUCAAUGCAUAUAAACUCUCAAGCUCUGUAUAUCUCAAAAUAAACAGACCAUCCACAGAAUGGUUAAAACCUUCACAGCCAACCAGAAAAUGGUUAUUUCUGUUUCCAAACGACCCAAAAUUCACCCGCCCAGAAAAUAUACAAUGCAAACCCAAAUCUCAUCUUUGCACAAAAGCCAAAACCCUAGAGAUCAAACUCAGUAGUUAAGCUUAUCAAAAACCCCGAAAUCACACCAAAUUGAUUCAAAAUCAAAAUAAAUCAAAACCCUAAGUUCGAAUCAUCAAAGUUGAUUGCUUGUAACUGCAUGAACCGUAAAAGUAUAGCACUAGAGCGAUUGAACACACCCCCUUCCCCCAACCCGGCUUGAAAAAUUUUGAGAGAAUUUAAAAGCUGGAAAAUUCAAAUUUAGAUAACAGAAGUUGAGAAGGAAAGAUUAGUUGAGCUGGGAGAUUGAGUUAAGAACAGAGCACCAAUUACAGAUGAAAUUGGAAUUACAACGAAAGAGCGAUAAACUAAACUGGAGAGUGUGAGAUUAAGGUUCAGAGAUUUGUGAAGUUCUGACCUUCUCCAACUUCACCAAUUGCAGAUAAAUCAACAGCCUUCAAACUCACUUGGGCUUUUCGAUUCUUCGCGCUUUCUCUCUGUUUCCGCUCUUCUUCUUUUUCUUCUAAUCUGUCUUCGACUGCAUUUUUCUCUUCUUUUGGGUUUAGUUGAUUUGCAUACAGAGAGAGAGCUUUGCUUUGUGUAGCUCGAUCCCCCGCUAUUACUUUUCCCUCUCUUUUUUUAACUUUUUUUUUUUCCCUUCG